Trematomus bernacchii (emerald rockcod) is the source of this 2822-nucleotide RNA transcript. RefSeq lists it as uncharacterized. The record is from RefSeq and is a predicted model, not a curated record. The transcript has 3 exons. NCBI's taxonomy places the organism in Eukaryota, Metazoa, Chordata, Actinopteri, Perciformes, Nototheniidae.
AACCUCUUCGGAGACUUCCGUUACAGGAGGUGCUUCUGGUGCUGUUGUUAGAUAAAUGGUGUUUGUGCUAGUUCCUGUCAACUGUUUCCUCCGCUCAGGCACCAAACGUUGAUAGAAAUAUCAAACUGUCAGCUCAUAUAAAUCAGAAAUAAUCUAGAGCCACAUCACUGUCCUGCCAGCAACACAGUUCCUCUGCCAUGGUUAACAACAUCAUGUCAAAGCCUCUCGGGUUAGUUCUGAUCCUCACAGCUCACAUGGUGUUCAACGGGUUUUGCUCCCAUACAGGGCUGAGCCAAGAGAUGGUGGGGAGCCUCGGCGGCAACAUCACCCUUGAAUUCCCAUUUAACUUCAGUGUCAGUGUAACAGGUUUUACAAUUUAUAAAAAAAAAAACUCAACAGACGAAGGACAAAAGAUUGCUGGGUAUUUAAAUGGCAAAAAAGAAGGCAAUCUUACAGUCUACCCUAAAAAUAUGUCUGUCUAUUUUGAAAUGACUAAUCUCAGUCUAAGUCAAAAAGGAAUUUACUGGGCCAGUUUGUUUGUGGACGGCAUCACCGAAAGAAGUAGAAGGAUAGAGCUGGACGUCCGAGUGGAGAACAGAAGCACGGUCCUACAGUAACUACAAAACCUGAACCUGACAGUGGAAAUGCCGGAGUGUCCUCCUUUCCAUUCCUCGCUGUCCUUUUGGUUUCUUCUGUUGUGCUGUUGGCUGCAGUUCUUCCCUUGUUGAUCUGGUGUAUCUUGAGACACAAAGGCAUUGAAAGUGACUGUGCAUCAGUACUUUUCCUCUCUUCAUAUAUUUUACUUGUCGGCCAUAACUUAAAAUUUCAGUAUCUCAGGGUUAUAACACUGACUGCAGUUUUCAUGUAAUGUUGCUACAACAGUAAUUCAAACUAAUCUUAGAUGGCACAGAAGUGACAGCUGAAUUAUGAAAAUCUGAAAUAAAAUGUAAUUGAUGGACCCCAUCGUUAAGAUUCCUUUAAGACAGUCAUUGUUAAACUUCCUGUUUGAAGCGUGCAGUAUUUUUUCAAGAGAGGAAAGAAGAAUAUUUGUUAUCUGUGGAAAAAAAUUGCAAUUGUGUGGUAAGAUGCUAAAAAAUUCUAGCAAGGUUGCAGUUUCACAUCCUUUGAUACACAAUGAUUCCCAGCUUUUGAAGAACUUCCUCCUCCAGUUCCUGCACAUGUCUACUAUCACAAAAAGGCUGUUUUAUUGUGGUUGGAUAAUAAAAGCAACACAAAACAUGGUGUACGAGGUGCACAGGGGAAAUCAUUUCAAUAAACUGUGAUGCAGGAAAUGCGAAAUAACAUCACAGGGGAAGCGAGUGGCAAUAAGUGUGAGCAUCUAUGUUUCUGCAUGAGUCUGAGAGUGUGAGAGAGAAAAGGGAGGUGCGAUCACGUGUCUGUGUUUUGCGAGUUUGCAUCGUACCAUUCAGCCCACAAGGUGGCAUAGAAAAACAAUGAUAAGAAUGGAAUGAUCACAUUUGUUUCUCAAGCAACAGCGUCAGAAAUGUACAAACCUAAAUUACAAUGUAGUUUCUGUAGCAGACAGAAAACUACUUUAGCUCAUGAUAAAUCACCAAGGCAAAGCACAACACCCUCAUUGACUUUGAGUCAUAACAAAGUAAAUGUUUUUACUGUCAGGAAAGCAUCAGUUUAUCUGUUUAAAAUCCUGAUUAUGAUGUUUUGAAUGAGUUGUUUCAUAAAUAACUUGUUUUAACUUUAGGGCCCACUGUGAAUAGGUUAACAUUUCAACUAAGAAAUAUUGCUUCCCCAGUUGAUUAUUUACAUUCAGACAAUGAUCUUUGGUAUUAGAAGUUUUCUGACAGUUUAGGUUUAAAUGUGCAAUGAGACAAUCAUUUGUAUUGCACCAGUCAGUGUCACUGUUUUUCUUUUUGUCCCCCCUACGGCCCCCUUCCUAUUGCAAAGCGUCCUUGGGUAUCAUGAAAGGUGCUAUAUAAGUCCAAGUUAUUAAUAUUAUUAUUAUUAUUAUUAUUAUUAUUAUUAUUAUUAUUAUUAUUAUUAUUAUUAAAUGUGUGCUAAAGAAUAAUGAAUAUUAAAGAAAGACAGGUACAAAUUAUUUGUAUUAUUUUGUUGACAGAUUAGAGUCACGGACGGUUUUUAGAAACUUUGUUUAUCCAAACAUACUGAACAAAAUGAGAAGACUUUAACUUCUCCUAAGCAAAUGGUUUGAGCCUAAAACCAUACAUUUCAGGUGCAAAAUCGAAGACAGAACUCCAACGUAUCCGGUGAGCAUCUCAGGUCUUUAAUUGCGCACAACAGUCACAUUAGUGCAUAAAGAAGAAUAUCUGCUUUUGUGUCAUUUCUGAGAAAACAUUUACAAUAUAUUUAUGGUUAAAGUCAGCAACCAUUGGGGGGUCCUGAUUCACAAAAAUGAAUCAAAUCGGUGUAUUUGUCUUUUUGUUUCUAUAGAAAAGGAAGCUGCGGGCUGCCACUGUGAACAUUUCAAAGCCCUCCAACAUGGCGGUGAUUGACAGGAGGAGCAUGACAUCACCUAGGUGUGUGCCCCUCGGAGCUGAGUCAUCAUCUUUAGUGGUUAAAGACACGGGGUCUUCCUGUGCAGUGAUUUUCGAAGUGAUAAUGUGGAAAGUGAGAACAGACGCUGACCAGCAACUACAGCAACCACUGAAACUAAACAUCCUACAAAGGAAUGAAGGAAUCCCCCUCUGAUACAUGCAGUUUUGUCUAAAAGUCAUACAAUUGUGACUUCAAAGACCCCCACUUCCUCUUGUGUGGUUGAAGUGUCACGUGUGUAUGUGUGUGUGUGUGUGUGUGUUCAAGGUUCAAGGUUCUUUAUUGUCAAUCUG